Molecule: long non-coding RNA, 472 nt
Filed under: Cyanistes caeruleus (blue tit)
Lineage: Eukaryota; Metazoa; Chordata; Aves; Passeriformes; Paridae
Description: lncRNA (ENSCCEG00000005655.1)
Source: RNAcentral
CCUGAGUGGGCAGGAGCCCCCAGCAGCCCCCAGCUCUCCUUGCCCUCCUCACUUUGCCAGCUCCUGGAGGAGCUAUUGCUGCACUGAGGACAGAGCAAGACACCCCCUGCAACAUCCCCACUCCUGCAACCAUCCCACGCUGCUGCAGCUCUCAAACUGGUGCUGCUUUGAUGGAUUAAAACCUAGUAAUAAUUUACUGAUCCGUGAAGCCUGAUAUUUCAUCCGGGAAAUGAAAGAGACAUUCACAGGAUUAUACACUCCCACCAUCUUAUAUCAUCAGUCUUCCCUCUGGAUUUUUUUCAGGCUCCUGAUUCAGGGACAAGAUCAUCCUGUGCUAAUAAAGAUUUGAGCAGAGGAUCUUUGAAAUUAUUUGGCUAGUUACAAUGCUGUAGAAUGUCUUCUCACAAUAAUUUCUAUUCUGUAGUUUAUCUUCUGACUGUAAAUAAAAGCCAUUAAAAAGCCUUAUGAGUCA